RNAcentral lists this ribosomal RNA (442 nucleotides) under uncultured bacterium. Its description in RNAcentral is "partial 16S ribosomal RNA". It matches the Rfam family "Bacterial small subunit ribosomal RNA", at positions 338 to 795 of the family's 1533-position model. The record is from RNAcentral.
CCUACGGGUGGCAGCAGUGGGGGAUAUUGCACAAUGGGGGAAACCCUGAUGCAGCGACGCCGCGUGGGCGAAGAAGUAUUUCGGUAUGUAAAGCCCUAUCAGCAGGGAAGAAGAAAUGACGGUACCUUCGGAAGAAGCACCGGCUAAAUACGUGCCAGCAGCCGCGGUAAUACGUAUGGUGCAAGCGUGAUCCGGAGUUACUGGGUGUAAAGGGAGCGCAGGCGGCACGGCAAGCCUGAUGUGAAAGCCCGGGGCCCAACCGCGGGACUGCAUUGGGAACUACCGGGCUGGAGUGCCGGAGAGGUAGGCGGAAUUCCUAGUGUAGCGGUGAAAUGCGUAGAUAUUAGGAGGAACACCAGUGGCGAAGGCGGCCUACUGGACGGUGACUGACGCUGAGGCUCGAAAGCGUGGGGAGCAAACAGGAUUAGAUACCCGAGUAGUC